GAUGAACGCUGGCGGCGUGCCUAAUACAUGCAAGUCGAGCCAACAGACGAGGAGCUUGCUCCUCUGACGUUAGCGGCGGACGGGUGAGUAACACGUGGAUAACCUACCUAUAAGACUGGGAUAACUUCGGGAAACCGGAGCUAAUACCGGAUAAUAUAUUGAACCGCAUGGUUCAAUAGUGAAAGACGGUUUUGCUGUCACUUAUAGAUGGAUCCGCGCCGCAUUAGCUAGUUGGUAAGGUAACGGCUUACCAAGGCGACGAUGCGUAGCCGACCUGAGAGGGUGAUCGGCCACACUGGAACUGAGACACGGUCCAGACUCCUACGGGAGGCAGCAGUAGGGAAUCUUCCGCAAUGGGCGAAAGCUUGACGGAGCAACGCCGCGUGAGUGAUGAAGGUCUUCGGAUCGUAAAACUCUGUUAUUAGGGAAGAACAAAUGUGUAAGUAACUAUGCACGUCUUGACGGUACCUAAUCAGAAAGCCACGGCUAACUACGUG
Molecule: ribosomal RNA, 497 nt
Filed under: uncultured bacterium
Lineage: Bacteria
Description: partial 16S ribosomal RNA
Rfam family: Bacterial small subunit ribosomal RNA
Source: RNAcentral